CGACCGCAGGUCAUGCGAGGUUACACGUUGAGUUUAAGCAUAUCAAUAAGCGGAGGAA
This 58-nucleotide ribosomal RNA is filed under the name Cochemiea mazatlanensis. RNAcentral's name for it is "Mammillaria mazatlanensis partial 26S ribosomal RNA". Lineage: Eukaryota; Viridiplantae; Streptophyta; Magnoliopsida; Caryophyllales; Cactaceae. The record is from RNAcentral.